This 1052-nucleotide long non-coding RNA is filed under the name Anser cygnoides (Swan goose). RNAcentral describes it as "lncRNA (ENSACDG00005012125.1)". Lineage: Eukaryota; Metazoa; Chordata; Aves; Anseriformes; Anatidae. The record is from RNAcentral.
GCUUUUUUUUUUUUUUUUCGUGUGUGUGUCCAGUUAUAAACCUCAGAGGAGAAACCCAACCAGAGGGGCUGGGAGCAUUGCCCAAGCCGUCUGAUUAUUGUUUUAGGACGGGAAUGAAAUCGAUUUUCCCCACAUCUUGCUGACAGGCUUUCGGUGCCUGCAGCCUGCAGCCUCUCCAGCACCACAACACUGGGACUGGCCGGAGCUGCCGAGCCAGGGGAAAUGCAAGAUACUGCCCCGAUCUGACAUUUCAGAAAAGACAAAAAAUCUCACGGAAUUUUAGCUCCAGAUCAAACCGUCUUUUGGCCGCAAUUUCCACGUAAAUCUGUUUCUAAUGAAGAGGCGUUUCCACACGCGAAACCUCGGGCUGCCUCUCCCAGCAGUAAUAAUAAUUACGCUGGCGGAGCCUGCCUUGUUUUCUGGUGUAUAAAAUAGGCUCAGAUAUGGUUGUGCAGGGUGUAUGCAGUAAGGCUAAACAAUCACAAGGAACGGUACAAAGAAGCUACCUAUUUAUUCAGGACUAUUGCCUUCCUGGAGGCAAUAAACUCAUUAUUUCAUAAAGGAGGCAUAUUUGAACUUUGCUCCUACCCGGUCAUCUUCUUGCGAGCACUGUUCCUAAGGGCACAGUGGUCCGGCUGGGUUGGAGGUAAAUGCCGGAUGGCAGGGAGGGCAGCACCGCAGCCAUCUUCCCGAGAGCUUUCCAGAGAGCCCCAAAGUUUGUCUCUGGCGCCCUUGUACAAGCGCACGGUGUUUGGGCUUGAGCGAGGGAAAACGAGGUGAUCGGGACUCGUGCUUUGAAUUUCGGGACGGAUUUCGGUGCCAACUGUGGAUUGCUGGAGCCGAGCGGGCAGCCUCCCUCGCGCGCUAGGGCGUGUAACUGGGACUUGGCUCUCCCGCGUGAACCACCGCCCGCUCCCCAUCCGCCGAGCAGCGACCGGCGGACACCGCUCCUGCCAUCGGGGAGCGGCCACGCCACGGAGCCCGGGGAGCUGGGAGCCCGCUCCCCGCGGGGCACCUUCCUCGACGGAGCCCCCCUGGCUCCGCUCCCGCCU